This 276-nucleotide long non-coding RNA is filed under the name Lathyrus oleraceus (garden pea). RNAcentral's name for it is "Pisum sativum (pea) long non-coding RNA (PSAT_LNC034498)". The record is from RNAcentral. Lineage: Eukaryota; Viridiplantae; Streptophyta; Magnoliopsida; Fabales; Fabaceae.
UUUUUUAGUAAACAAAAGUAAGAGAAACAAUGAUGUAUAAUUCAAGCAUGCUUGGUGAUCUCAAAUCAAUCACAAGGAGUCCCACCCAAAGGCAAAGGGAACCAAAAUGCUCAUUAUCCUUGAGGCUAUGCAAAUGCAAUGUUAUGAUGCCAUGAGGGAUCUUAGGGUCAAAAUUGGGGUCUUACAAUUUGGAAUUGGGAAAUUGAUGAAAAUUGACCAUAAAGUGCAAGGUGCAAAACAUGUGUAUGUGAAAAUUUCCAAAAUGGCCAAACUUCA